RNAcentral lists this small nuclear RNA (19 nucleotides) under Arabidopsis thaliana (thale cress). RNAcentral describes it as "snRNA_13175". The record is from RNAcentral. Lineage: Eukaryota; Viridiplantae; Streptophyta; Magnoliopsida; Brassicales; Brassicaceae.
GCGGUCCAGAAUACAGCGG